This is a long non-coding RNA of Gopherus flavomarginatus (Mexican gopher tortoise), 2078 nucleotides long. RefSeq lists it as uncharacterized. The transcript has 3 exons. Lineage: Eukaryota; Metazoa; Chordata; Testudines; Testudinidae. The record is from RefSeq and is a predicted model, not a curated record.
UGUUUAAGAAGCUUCAUUUAAAAUUAAAUUAAAAUGCAGAGUUCCCCGGACCAGUGGCCAGGACCCGGGCAGUGUGAGUGCCACUGAAAAUCAGCUUGUGUGCCAUGGGUUGCCUACCCCUGGUCUAUAAGGUGCCACAGGACUCUGUGUAAGUUUAUAACUGUGUUCUCAUGUUUCUCUUACAGCUCUCACACUGAGCCAGCAGAGGGAGCAGAGAGACCACCCAUUUUCUGUAGUCUAUACAGCGGCAAUCCUGUUACUUAGGCAUAAAGUCCCUUUCCUCUUUAAGGAAAGUAUUUUUGUUGACUGAGAUCCUAGUGCAGCUUGAAGUUAAUCUUUGUUGAUCGUGGCUUGUGUGUAACAGUUGGUUCCACUCAUGGCUUUGGGAUUUGAGAUUCCUGCUGUUGUCAUCAUAUACAGGUUCUUCUCCCACAUUCAUCACCAUAAUACCCAAGUGCUUUCCAGUAAUGCAUUAAGCAACAUGACUAAUGCCUGUCACAUGUUCUUCAUUCUCUCACUCUCCUCACUGGGAGAAGCGUGUUCAUUGGAGUCUUGUUUUGGUAGAAGGUAAAGCCAAGCAACAUCCCAGAAGGAAAUCUGUACAUUUAAACGGAGUGUUGGGCUGCUCAGCAACAAAAACAUAAUAUCACUGAAGACGUAAACAAAGUUUUAAAAUUUUAAGUGAGAAGCCAGAAGCUUAGCACACCCCAAAGGUAGGGUCUGGAGGAGCAACACAGUGUGCAGGAAUAGCCUGCAUCAGAGACUAUUUCGCCCUCUUGCUGUGAGCUCUCAUUAUUCCGGGAUGGCUUGUUAAUAAACCACUCAAUCUGAUGUUUUCUUCUUUGCUGAGUUUUAAGCUCAAGUGGGCUUAAGUAGUCAACUGUCUGCACAGGCAAGUGGCAUAUCAGUGCAGCUGACAGUAAAUGUUGUGCUGAUUGAUUUGUUUAUUUCUUGCAUUGGUAUCCUAAUGAAAGAUGAUGCACGAAGGCUGACACCAGAUUGGAACAGACACCUUAACAGAAUCACCAGAACAUAUUUGGGGCGAGGGAAGGGAAUCAAGCCAGGCAAAAAGAUCUGAAAACAGUAUCCAGCCUCCAACCAGUAUCAGGCAAAAGAUUUUACCAAUUUAGUUAUUGCAAUGAAAGAGUGAAGGUAGGCAUUUAAGGGGCUAUGUGUGUGCAAAAUUUAACUCCCAAGUCCCAAUUAAUAUAUGUACACAUGUGAAUCACUCCUUUUUACACCCCAUUCCCACAUCCCCAAGGGGAGAGAAACAGAGAGGCUCCUGUGGAACUAUCAGGUGGAAGGAGGCAAUGUCCUAGGAGACAUGGAGGAGAGAGCAGGCUUGCCAUCCAUAUCUGAACAUUGCAAGGGAGGGGGAAGUAGGCAAGCUGGUGCCCCUGAAAUCAUCAGCAGAUAAGGCUGUACUGUAUUUUUACCAUUCUCCAAAGGAUGAGCUUUGGCAGGCUCUAGUUGCUUCCCUCUCCACCAAUGAAUGUUUCUGCCCCUGAAGUUGUUCACUAGCUUAACUGAUGAAUGAACACAAAAUGAGCAAAAAUAGUCUGAGUGAUUCAUUUAAAAAUCUGACCGAGUAUUUGCAGAACGUAUUUUGCUAAUUUGCCUCUGACUGCAAUAAGAUAAUUUAGGAUUACUAUUGGGAAAAUAUUAUAACAGAUCUAUUGCAAUCUUGAAUAGACUUUCACAAGAAGUAUUGGAAGGUCACUUGGGUAAUUGCAAGUGAGAAUGAACAACUGAUUUCACUUUUUCCAUUAACUUUACUAGGCUUUAGACACACACCCAUUUACUUCAAUGAGCACAGGAGCAAGUGCCUAGAAACAUACUACAGAGGACGGUCUUCUUUUGGUAAAAGCAUAUGCUAGGUGAUGCAUACUAGCUCAGUCCAACUUCUCAAAUACUUCCACUAGUAUAUAUACUCAGGUGACAACCGUGUAGAAUCCAAGAGAUUUUACAAGGAAUAAGUUUGCUUCAUUCCCCAGCUCUGAAGGAAAAGAGCAGCUGAUAGGUCAGUGAACUGCUAAAAUGUAUUUGACUUACCAGAGUAUGAUUGUGUUGUGCUGCUC